Molecule: long non-coding RNA, 602 nt
Filed under: Mus musculus (house mouse)
Lineage: Eukaryota; Metazoa; Chordata; Mammalia; Rodentia; Muridae
Description: RIKEN cDNA 1700001J04 gene, transcript variant 2 (1700001J04Rik)
Source: RNAcentral
ACUCACUCUACCAUCUUGUCACAGCACUUACACUCUUAGGGCCCCUGGGAUAUCUAUUAAUCUGACUAUAUCCUGUCACCCUUCUGGGCCAAACCAUUCUGCUGGCAGAUCCCAUGUGGGAAGAGAGUGAGCAGGGGAGGGUCCAUUCCCCAUCCUGAGGUUGUUGGUGGAAGACGUUCACAGGAUUCCUCCUUCAGAAUGGGCUUGCAUUUCCUGUACACACAGCGAUGGCUGGGCAUCCUGGAAGUGGGGCAGGCAGCUGAAGAACAGAGAAGCAAGGUUUCCACCUCACCCUACCGUACACAUGCUUUGGACUUUGGAAUCGAAGUUCAGGGGGCAUCUUAGACCUGCCAGUUUGAGGACGGACUCAGUCAAGAGGCACAGCGGGGGCCCCUGUGCAGGAUGCUCAUACCGGGCUAAAGAGACGAGCACUCAUGCGAGGUGGGAUGUUACAAAGGUCCCUACAUCUCUUGGUGCUACCCUUGAGAACCGGACCCAGGCCUACAAAGCUCCUCCAAACCCAGACAAUAGAGUCCUUCAAUGCCCAGCUUCAAAAAUGGGGAGGUAAUAAAGGUAACAGGUGGACGGACAGUCCCUUACAA